Molecule: long non-coding RNA, 531 nt
Organism: Lucilia sericata (common green bottle fly)
Lineage: Eukaryota; Metazoa; Arthropoda; Insecta; Diptera; Calliphoridae
Exons: 3
Source: RefSeq, a predicted model, not a curated record
UCUGCAACAACAGUUUAAAUAUUUUAAUCUAAAUAAAAAAAAAACAGCUGUAUUUUUUGAUGAAUGUGUGUCUAUAUCCAAACAAUACCUACAUUAAGCGGAAAAAAUUGAUAAGUUAACACUGUUGCCCGGUUGAAUUUUUUAUAAUUGGCUGCUACUACUAAUAGCUUUUCAUGUAGUAUCUACUGCUUAUGGGGCUCUUCAAAUUACUUUAAGCCAAGAGGAAUUUAAAAAAAUUGCAGUUCUCCAAGUAAAUUUUUAGUUAUUUUAAAAGCAUUUUGAAUCCAAUAUAUAAAUCACAUGAAGACAGCAAAAAUAAUCGCCAAGUUAUUGUUGAAAUGCCUUGAUAUGGAUGCAUCAAUAGCCGAAACGUCAGUUCCUCUGGAAAAAGUAAAGAAAUGUUUGUUUUCUAUUGUAUUUUCUACAUAUCCCGUCCAUUACUACACAUUUGGUCUUCCGUCGAAGAUUUAAGUCAUUCUGGAGCUAAACGUCUAAACUAAAAACAAUGUCAAAAAUUUGUAAAACAAAUUU